RNAcentral lists this unclassified non-coding RNA (336 nucleotides) under soil metagenome. Its description in RNAcentral is "partial contains 5.8S ribosomal RNA, internal transcribed spacer 2, and large subunit ribosomal RNA". The stretch from base 1 to 120 matches the Rfam family "5.8S ribosomal RNA", at positions 35 to 154 of the family's 154-position model. The record is from RNAcentral.
GAUGAAGAACGUAGCGAAAUGCGAUAAGUAAUGUGAAUUGCAGAAUUCAGUGAAUCAUCGAAUCUUUGAACGCUCAUUGCGUCCGCCAGUAUUCUGGCGGGCAUGCCUGUUCGAGCGUCAUUUCAACCAUCAAGCCCCAGGCUUGUGUUGGGGACCUGCGGCUGCCGCAGGCCCUGAAAACCAGUGGCGGGCUCGCUGUCACACCGGGCGUAGUAGAUUUUAUCUCGCUCAGGGCGUGCUGCGGGUUCCGGCCGUUAAAAAGCCUUUUUUACCCAAGGUUGACCUCGGAUCAGGUAGGAAGACCCGCUGAACUUAAGCAUAUCAAUAAGCGGAGGA